RNAcentral lists this ribosomal RNA (432 nucleotides) under uncultured bacterium. Its description in RNAcentral is "partial 16S ribosomal RNA". It matches the Rfam family "Bacterial small subunit ribosomal RNA", at positions 29 to 506 of the family's 1533-position model. The record is from RNAcentral.
AGCGAACGCUGGCGGCAGGCCUAACACAUGCAAGUCGAACGAACUCUUCGGAGUUAGUGGCGGACGGGUGAGUAACACGUGGGAACGUGCCUUUAGGUUCGGAAUAACUCAGGGAAACUUGUGCUAAUACCGAAUGUGCCCUUCGGGGGAAAGAUUUAUCGCCUUUAGAGCGGCCCGCGUCUGAUUAGCUAGUUGGUGAGGUAAAGGCUCACCAAGGCGACGAUCAGUAGCUGGUCUGAGAGGAUGAUCAGCCACAUUGGGACUGAGACACGGCCCAAACUCCUGCGGGAGGCAGCAGUGGGGAAUCUUGCGCAAUGGGCGAAAGCCUGACGCAGCCAUGCCGCGUGAAUGAUGAAGGUCUUAGGAUUGUAAAAUUCUUUCACCGGGGACGAUAAGGACGGUACCCGGAGAAGAAGCCCCGGCUAACUUCGU